Piliocolobus tephrosceles (Ugandan red Colobus) is the source of this 974-nucleotide RNA transcript. It is a transcript of the gene named proteasome subunit beta type-1 pseudogene, with no coding region annotated. The transcript has a single exon. Lineage: Eukaryota; Metazoa; Chordata; Mammalia; Primates; Cercopithecidae. The record is from RefSeq and is a predicted model, not a curated record.
AAAUACACCAAAAUGUUAACAGUCACUGUCGUUGGCUAGGGGCACUUUGGCUAGUUCUUAAAAUAAUUAUUUCAAGGUCCGGUCACGGCAGCCAUCUCGCCGUGAGACAGCAGGUGUCGGAGCAGCAGGCGCAGUUGUACGAUGUUGUCUUCCAUAGCCAUGUAUUCGGCUCCUGGCAGAGACUUGGGGAUGGAGCCGCACAGAGCCGCGGGCCCUUUGCAGAUGCGAUUUUCACCCUACGCUUUUAACGGAGGUACUGUACUGGCAAUUGCUGGAGAAGAUUUUGCAAUUGUUGCUUCUGAUACUCGACUGAGUGAAGGGUUUUCAAUUCAUACCCGGGAUAGCCCCAAAUGUUACAAAUUAAGAGACAAAACAGUCAUGGGAUGCAGUGGUUUUCAUGGAGACUGUCUUACCCUGACAAAGAUUAUUGAAGCAAGACUAAAGAUGUAUAAGCAUUCCAAUAAUAAGGCCAUGACUAUGGGGGCAAUUGCUGCAAUGCUGUCUACGAUCCUGUAUUCAAGGCGCUUCUUUCCAUGCUAUGUUUACAACAUCAUCGGUGGACUUGAUGAAGAAGGAAAGGGGGCUGUAUACAGCUUUGACCCAGUAGGGUCUUACCAGAGAGACUCCUUCAAGGCUGGAGGCUCAGCAAGUGCCAUGCUACAGCCCCUGCUUGACAACCAGGUUGGUUUUAAGAACAUGCAGAAUGUGGAGCAUGUCCCGCUGUCCUUGGACAGAGCCAUGCGGCUGGUGAAAGAUGUCUUUAUUUCUGCGGCUGAGAGAGACGUUUACACUGGGGACGCGCUCCGGAUCUGCAUAGUGACCAAAGAGGGCAUCAGGGAGGAAACUAUUCCCUUAAGGAAGGACUGAUCUGUGUGCUGUUAAUCACCAAUCAGUUCAGAACUGGUUGAUUUUGUACUUUGGAACUGUACCUUGUAUGGUUUUGUUUAUUAAAAGAGAAAACUGAAGUAAAAAAA